GAUAGCUCAGUUGGUAGAACAUGAGACUCUUUAAUCCCAGGGUCAUGGGUUCGAGUUCCGAGUCAGACA
Non-coding RNA from Podarcis lilfordi (Lilford's wall lizard), 69 nucleotides. The record is from the annotation of a GenBank genome assembly. NCBI's taxonomy places the organism in Eukaryota, Metazoa, Chordata, Lepidosauria, Squamata, Lacertidae.